UACAAGAAAUAAAUUGCAUGAGAGUAUCCCUUAAAUAUGUAUAUGAGUGCAUAUAUAUAUAUAUAUAUAUAUUUCCAUAUAUGGGAGUUUCAUAUAUAAUAAAUCAACACAAACCCAUGGGAAAUGGGUGAAUUAUUUAGUAGCAGCAGGCAAAUGACUUAUCAAACCUAGCAGCUCCGAAGUUUCCCUUAGAAUGCGCUGCUACUCUUGCAGGCAAAUCAUUUUAUUUGAUCAAGUAGGUCUUGGGGAGGAAAUGAUCUCAAUCUUUCCUCAAACUUUAAAUGAGUAGGAAGCCCAGCUUGCUGGUAUGGAGUUGGACGUGGAAUGAGGGUGCCCAGUGGGCUGCUUUUGGUCAGCAGAAGUGGCACUGCCGGAUGCAUGGAGUAUCAGUGAAGGUGCCUGCUGCGGAUGCUCAUUAGACCUCAAGAACGGUGUUGGUUGUUACAGACAGCAAGACAGUGGCCAUUAAAGUCAGAAUCUGCUAAGGGGUGUGUAACAACUGACCUGUGGAUGCAACUAACCCAGAAAAUGAAUGGCACUGCUCAUGUUUGGCUUUCUUAGGCAGUGGACACACUAGAGACACUGGCAGAAAAACGAUCUCAGCAGCUUGGAUCCCCUCACGCUUGCUGGGCUGUGACAAGCAAGGCAGCUGCGGUAAAACUUGAAGCCUAGGUAUGGGCCUGGGUGGAGCAGUAGAUGCAGUUCUUAGUUGUCCUCGUAGCAGAUUUCAAAUAAGUGCUUUGAAAGCCAAAGUGUGGAAGGGUCCAUGUGAUCAGCAGUUGAACAGGAUCAGUUAGUCCUGAAAGAUAGGUGAGCUCCAUUCCAAAGACACAGGUGAUGACCUUCGAGGCCCUCAUUUGGACAAGCCUGUGAUAGCCAUUUCUUUCUUUACUUUUUUCUUUGGAGAUGGAGUCUUGCUCUCUUGCCCAGGCUGGAGUGCAGUGGUAUGAUCUUGGCUCACUCCAACCUCCGCUUCCUGGGUUCAAGCGAUUCUCUUGCC
This is a non-coding RNA of Callithrix jacchus (white-tufted-ear marmoset), 1000 nucleotides long. The record is from Rfam. Lineage: Eukaryota; Metazoa; Chordata; Mammalia; Primates; Cebidae.